GGUGUUGUGGUGUAGUUGGUUAUCACAUAUAUCUUGUACACAAAAGGUUCGUAGUUUGAAUCGGGGCAACACUA
Molecule: transfer RNA, 74 nt
Filed under: Amborella trichopoda
Lineage: Eukaryota; Viridiplantae; Streptophyta; Magnoliopsida; Amborellales; Amborellaceae
Description: tRNA-Thr
Source: RNAcentral